UUUCCGUAGGUGAACCUGCGGAAGGAUCAUUAUUGUAUAACCGAGGUGCGAGGGCUGUCGCUGACCCGAAAGGUCGUGCACGCCCGAGUGCCCUCACACACAUCCAUCUCACCCCUAUGUGCACCACCGCGUGGGUCACCCUUUGGCUUGUUCGGAGGGGGGCUUACGUUGUCACACAAACUUUGUAUGCAGUGUAGAAUGUAUUUUUUGUUUUUGCGAUCACGCAAUCAAUACAACUUUCAACAACGGAUCUCUUGGCUCUC
Molecule: unclassified non-coding RNA, 263 nt
Filed under: plant metagenome
Description: partial contains small subunit ribosomal RNA, internal transcribed spacer 1, and 5.8S ribosomal RNA
Source: RNAcentral